Syngnathoides biaculeatus (alligator pipefish) is the source of this 1577-nucleotide long non-coding RNA. RefSeq lists it as uncharacterized. NCBI's taxonomy places the organism in Eukaryota, Metazoa, Chordata, Actinopteri, Syngnathiformes, Syngnathidae. The transcript has 5 exons. The record is from RefSeq and is a predicted model, not a curated record.
CACUCAAGUGUCACCAAAUCAAGCUAGCUCACAUUGGAAAAGUCGAACUUUUUUGUGAUUUUUGUUUGUUUGUUUUUUACAAGUUUAUUCAUUUUUCUUCACCAUGGGCCCCACGAAUAUAUGGUGGAAUUAAGUUGUGUACGUUCCUACGUAGCAAAUGUUUGCCUCCUCCUGCGUCCCCCACGAUGGCUUAUGCCUGUCACUCAUCCUCCUCUUUGCAAUGUCGCCCAACGCCAAAGGUGGCUUGGAAUGGAUUAGGCUAUUUGCAAGAGCGCUUUGACUUCCGGAAUGAAUUAAUUUCGCACACAGUCUUAAUCGAUAACGAGGCACUCUAAAGGGGCCGAGCCAGUCCGAAGACCCGGCCCACACGCUGGUUCCCAAAUCGGAAAUUUCCGGAUUGUUCUGCCUUCCUCCACAGGAUGUACAUCUGCAUGCUGUACCACUGUCCCUGUCUGAGUACUCUGUCAUAAGCUUUCUCUCCAUCAGGAACCUAAAGUUCCCACAGCUCUGCACAUCACCUGCGUUCUUAAAAAUGCAGAUAAGAAGACUAUUCCUCCGUUCUUCAAUCAUUCCUAGAUUUGUCUUGAACAAUCUGGUCAAAAACUGUACAGCCACCUCUCCAAGAUGCUUCCAUACCUCCAUAAGUAUGUUAUCAGGACCAACUGCAUUUCCAUUUUUCAUCCUCUUUAAUGUCUUUCUAACUUCCCCCUUACUCAUCAUUGCAACUUCAUGGUCUACCACACUUUCCUCUUCUGCUUUUCCUUUUAUCUUAUUCUCCUCAUUCAUCAGCUCCUUAGAGUGUUCUUUCCAUCUAUCCAGCACACUCCUGGCACCAGUCAACAGUUUUCGAUCCAUAUCUUUAAUCACCCUAACCUGCUGCACAGCCAUUCCCUCUCAAGUCCUCUGUCUGGUCAAUCUGAAUAACCUCUUUUCUCUUUUAGUGCCCAACCUCUCACAUCUCCUCUUAUGCCUCUUCUUGAACUUUUGCCGCCUCUACCUUUUGCCCCUCGUAUUCCUUUCCCCUCUGCUCUGUUCUCUCAGCGUCCCACUUCUCAGCUAACCUGUCAUAACCAGAACUCCAGUGUGGACCCAAAUGCACGACUCGUUACCUUCAGAUUAUAUCAUCUCCACAUGAUGCAAUCCACCUAGGUGCUUCUACCUUACCUCUUAUAGGUCACCCCAUGUUCCUGGCUCUUCUGGAAAUUCAAGUUUCAACUUCUUCCCAUCUACACUAUGGUCAAAUAAUUUGAACCCUUCUUCUGAACUUAUACCCUUGGCUGUCUUUUCCCCUACUAGUCUUCUAGAAUCAUGAUAUAUCUUAAUCUAUACAUGCGCUCAUCAUCAUCUCAACUAAAUCCCAAUCUUUUCUUGUCUUCGUCCCAACUUUAAGAUCUAGGCUCCAUGCUUUCUUCUGUUUCUGCCCAAGAACCUGCUUUCCACCUCUAAUUUGUUUUUGACUCACAGCAGGGUUAGGAUUUUUACUGGUGCUCAGUAGGGUAACAAAACUGGUGAAGGAUGUUGUUAACCCGGGCCACGGCCAAUCUGGUCUGGAGUUCUUCGCAUGAAUUUUCAUAUUU